This 253-nucleotide ribosomal RNA is filed under the name uncultured bacterium. Its description in RNAcentral is "partial 16S ribosomal RNA". It matches the Rfam family "Bacterial small subunit ribosomal RNA", at positions 524 to 776 of the family's 1533-position model. The record is from RNAcentral.
UACGUAGGGUGCAAGCGUUGUCCGGAAUUAUUGGGCGUAAAGAGCUCGUAGGUGGUCAGUCGCGUCUGCUGUGAAAACUCGGGGCUUAACUCCGGGCCUGCAGUGGGUACGGGCUGACUAGAGUGCGGUAGGGGAGACUGGAAUUCCUGGUGUAGCGGUGAAAUGCGCAGAUAUCAGGAGGAACACCGGUGGCGAAGGCGGGUCUCUGGGCCGAUACUGACGCUGAGGAGCGAAAGCGUGGGGAGCGAACAGG